AGCUUGCUGGGUGGAUUAGUGGCGAACGGGUGAGUAACACGUGAGUAACCUGCCCUUGACUCUGGGAUAAGCCUGGGAAACUGGGUCUAAUACCGGAUAGGAACGUCCACCGCAUGGUGGGUGUUGGAAAGAUUUAUCGGUCAUGGAUGGACUCGCGGCCUAUCAGCUUGUUGGUGAGGUAAUGGCUCACCAAGGCGACGACGGGUAGCCGGCCUGAGAGGGUGACCGGCCACACUGGGACUGAGACACGGCCCAGACUCCUACGGGAGGCAGCAGUGGGGAAUAUUGCACAAUGGGCGAAAGCCUGAUGCAGCGACGCCGCGUGAGGGAUGACGGCCUUCGGGUUGUAAACCUCUUUCAGUAGGGAAGAAGCGAAAGUGACGGUACCUGCAGAAGAAGCACCGGCUAACUACGUGCCAGCAGCCGCGGUAAUACGUAGGGUGCGAGCGUUAUCCGGAAUUAUUGGGCGUAAAGAGCUCGUAGGCGGUUUGUCGCGUCUGUCGUGAAAGUCCGGGGCUUAACCCCGGAUCUGCGGUGGGUACGGGCAGACUAGAGUGCAGUAGGGGAGACUGGAAUUCCUGGUGUAGCGGUGGAAUGCGCAGAUAUCAGGAGGAACACCGAUGGCGAAGGCAGGUCUCUGGGCUGUAACUGACGCUGAGGAGCGAAAGCAUGGGGAGCGAACAGGAUUAGAUACCCUGGUAGUCCAUGCCGUAAACGUUGGGCACUAGGUGUGGGGACCAUUCCACGGUUUCCGCGCCGCAGCUAACGCAUUAAGUG
Molecule: ribosomal RNA, 777 nt
Filed under: Micrococcus sp. MJ425
Lineage: Bacteria; Bacillati; Actinomycetota; Actinomycetes; Micrococcales; Micrococcaceae
Description: bacterial SSU rRNA
Rfam family: Bacterial small subunit ribosomal RNA
Source: RNAcentral